CAUGUUUUAUAUUAAGAGAUUCUGAAGUCUAUAAUAAUAAUUGUAAUUAUUUAUUUAUUGUAUAUCCACAAAAUUCUAUUCAGCAGUUAGAAAAAAGCGCAUGAAAUUGUUUUGCACAGAAAUUUUGCAAAACAUUCACUUGAUAUACUAGGAAAAAUAAGUUGAAAAAGGUGACUCACUGCCUAUCGUACGAAUUAAGCAAUUUAUCAAGCGUGAUUUUUCAGUAAUAACCGCUACUGCUUAUUUUCAAAAGAUGACUAUCAAGAUAUUAUGGCCCUUCCUAGUCAUAACAUCUCUAGCAUCAUAAAUAUGUCCCCUCAAGUAGCCGUUGUUGAGGGGGCUCAGCGCUAUAUGGUACCAAGGACUGACAAAUAAUAAUUUUCACCCCAAGGACUCUGAGCAAACAGGUACCACAGAAUCCACUACCCUCAAAGCAUCAGUUUCAACCGAAGCCCAGACUAAUCUUUUGACAAGGCCUGUCUCAAAUGUCGCAGCAUCAGUGGUGCAGAGAAAAAUAAGGAGAAGGGAGCCAAAAUUGCUCAGUUCAUUAAGUUGUCUCCACCUCCAAAACACCCGUGACUUCCAACCCCAAGAUCUAGGCAAAACCUGUUAAGAAGCCAAGAACCCAUGGCUUUACGCCAAUAAUGGGUAUAUAAAUUUAUCACACCCAUUUUGUUAUCUAAUACAGUUUAUAUAAAUAAGAACAUCACAAUAUUGAUAAAAAUAUUUAUUAAACCCAUUUGAAAUA
Diorhabda carinulata is the source of this 748-nucleotide long non-coding RNA. RefSeq lists it as uncharacterized. Lineage: Eukaryota; Metazoa; Arthropoda; Insecta; Coleoptera; Chrysomelidae. The record is from RefSeq and is a predicted model, not a curated record. The transcript has 2 exons.